GGGGCGUUAGCUCAGCUGGGAGAGCGUCGGCUUUGCAAGCCGAAGGUCGCCGGUUCGAUCCCGGCACGCUCCAUCA
Molecule: transfer RNA, 76 nt
Filed under: Actinomycetes bacterium
Lineage: Bacteria; Bacillati; Actinomycetota; Actinomycetes
Description: Actinobacteria bacterium tRNA-Ala
Rfam family: tRNA
About the family: Transfer RNA (tRNA) molecules are approximately 80 nucleotides in length.
Source: RNAcentral